This 253-nucleotide ribosomal RNA is filed under the name uncultured bacterium. RNAcentral describes it as "partial 16S ribosomal RNA". It matches the Rfam family "Bacterial small subunit ribosomal RNA", at positions 524 to 776 of the family's 1533-position model. The record is from RNAcentral.
UACGUAGGGGGCAAGCGUUGUCCGGAUUUAUUGGGCGUAAAGAGCGUGUAGGCGGUUAGGUAGGUCCGUUGUGAAAACUCGAGGCUCAACCUCGGGCCUGCAGUGGGUACGGGCAGACUAGAGUGCGGUAGGGGAGAUUGGAAUUCCUGGUGUAGCGGUGGAAUGCGCAGAUAUCAGGAGGAACACCAAUGGCGAAGGCGGAUCUCUGGGCCGUAACUGACGCUGAGGAGCGAAAGCAUGGGGAGCGAACAGG